UUACGGCAAUAUCAGGUUGAAAUACAUAUUCCCGUACGAUCACUGAGGUUAAGCAACAUCGAGACAAGUUAGUAAAAAGAUGGGUGACCGCUUGAGAAUACCAGGUGCUGUAAG
Non-coding RNA from Acanthosepion pharaonis, 114 nucleotides. The record is from the annotation of a GenBank genome assembly. Lineage: Eukaryota; Metazoa; Mollusca; Cephalopoda; Sepiida; Sepiidae.